AUGACACGUGUGCUUCUCAAUCACCAACCCCAUGCGCGCCUUGCCCAAGGUACUCCCUAUGAGAAGCCACCUUCCCAGGCCAUCGAUAAGCAUCCAACAUCGUCCACCAAAUCACUAGCCAUGUCUUCAAGAGAUGGUCUAUCCCGGAAGGCUAUCCUCCGUUGCAACACUAGCAUGAUGGGGUCAUCCUCGUGCUCGUCCUCCAUGUUGUGGAAUGAAGGUAAGGUGGAAAAGAAGGAGGUUGCGUGCACUGGCAAGCCAGAGCACACCUCCUUCAAGUGUUUCCAGUGCAACAAGACAUUCCCAACCCAGCAGGCCAUGGCUGGCCACUGCAGCGCCCACACCCGGGCUAGCUUCCGGAAGAGGGCAGUCGCCAGGCGCACCAAUCAGAUCUCAGAUCCUCCUGCCAUGGUUUCCAUGCCUCGCAACUCGCCACAGCUUCCCCAACAUCAUAAUGUUGAUGCCAUCCACUUUUGGCAUUCACGGGAACAUAUCACAACCAGGAGCAACCCUAUGUUGCCACUAGGUAUAAGGUAUGUUCCGUAUGUUCGUCCAACUGGCAACCAAGUGAUGGUGACGGUUCCAUACCUUUAG
RNAcentral lists this ribosomal RNA (594 nucleotides) under Triticum aestivum (bread wheat). Its description in RNAcentral is "partial small subunit ribosomal RNA". Lineage: Eukaryota; Viridiplantae; Streptophyta; Magnoliopsida; Poales; Poaceae. The record is from RNAcentral.